RNAcentral lists this ribosomal RNA (572 nucleotides) under Arthrinium sp. HKU41. Its description in RNAcentral is "eukaryotic LSU rRNA". It matches the Rfam family "Eukaryotic large subunit ribosomal RNA", at positions 51 to 648 of the family's 3401-position model. The record is from RNAcentral. Lineage: Eukaryota; Fungi; Ascomycota; Sordariomycetes; Amphisphaeriales; Apiosporaceae.
CGGAGGAAAAGAAACCAACAGGGAUUCCCCUAGUAACGGCGAGUGAAGCGGGAACAGCUCAAAUUUGAAAUCUGGCCCUUGGGUCCGAGUUGUAAUUUGCAGAGGAUGCUUUUGGUGCGGUGCCUUCCGAGUUCCCUGGAACGGGACGCCUUAGAGGGUGAGAGCCCCGUACGGUUGGCCACCAAGCCUGUGUAAAGCUCCUUCGACGAGUCGAGUAGUUUGGGAAUGCUGCUCAAAAUGGGAGGUAUAUUUCUUCUAAAGCUAAAUACUGGCCAGAGACCGAUAGCGCACAAGUAGAGUGAUCGAAAGAUGAAAAGCACUUUGAAAAGAGGGUUAAAUAGCACGUGAAAUUGUUGAAAGGGAAGGAUUUAUGACCAGACUUUUUCUGGGGGGAUCAUCCGGUGUUCUCACCGGUGCACUUCCCCCAGUGAAGGCCAGCAUCGGUUUCUGCCGGGGGAUAAAAGCUUCGGGAAUGUGGCUCCUUCGGGAGUGUUAUAGCCCGUUGCAUAAUACCCUGGCGGGGACCGAGGUUCGCGCAUUGCAAGGAUGCUGGCGUAAUGGUUAUUAAUCAC